RNAcentral lists this ribosomal RNA (1355 nucleotides) under uncultured bacterium. RNAcentral describes it as "bacterial SSU rRNA". It matches the Rfam family "Bacterial small subunit ribosomal RNA", at positions 28 to 1381 of the family's 1533-position model. The record is from RNAcentral.
AUUGAACGCUGGCGGCAGGCUUAACACAUGCAAGUCGAACGAUGACUCUCUAGCUUGCUAGAGAAGAUUAGUGGCGGACGGGUGAGUAACAUUUAGGAAUCUGCCUAGUAGUGGGGGAUAGCUCGGGGAAACUCGAAUUAAUACCGCAUACGACCUACGGGUGAAAGGGGGCGCAAGCUCUUGCUAUUAGAUGAGCCUAAAUCAGAUUAGCUAGUUGGUGGGGUAAAGGCCCACCAAGGCGACGAUCUGUAACUGGUCUGAGAGGAUGAUCAGUCACACCGGAACUGAGACACGGUCCGGACUCCUACGGGAGGCAGCAGUGGGGAAUAUUGGACAAUGGGGGCAACCCUGAUCCAGCCAUGCCGCGUGUGUGAAGAAGGCCUUUUGGUUGUAAAGCACUUUAAGCAGGGAGGAGAGGCUAAUGGUUAAUACCCAUUAGAUUAGACGUUACCUGCAGAAUAAGCACCGGCUAACUCUGUGCCAGCAGCCGCGGUAAUACAGAGGGUGCGAGCGUUAAUCGGAAUUACUGGGCGUAAAGCGAGUGUAGGUGGCUCAUUAAGUCACAUGUGAAAUCCCCGGGCUUAACCUGGGAACUGCAUGUGAUACUGGUGGUGCUAGAAUAUGUGAGAGGGAAGUAGAAUUCCAGGUGUAGCGGUGAAAUGCGUAGAGAUCUGGAGGAAUACCGAUGGCGAAGGCAGCUUCCUGGCAUAAUAUUGACACUGAGAUUCGAAAGCGUGGGUAGCAAACAGGAUUAGAUACCCUGGUAGUCCACGCCGUAAACGAUGUCUACUAGCCGUUGGGGUCCUUGAGACUUUAGUGGCGCAGUUAACGCGAUAAGUAGACCGCCUGGGGAGUACGGCCGCAAGGUUAAAACUCAAAUGAAUUGACGGGGGCCCGCACAAGCGGUGGAGCAUGUGGUUUAAUUCGAUGCAACGCGAAGAACCUUACCUGGUCUUGACAUAGUGAGAAUCUCUCAGAGAUGAGAGAGUGCCUUCGGGAACUCACAUACAGGUGCUGCAUGGCUGUCGUCAGCUCGUGUCGUGAGAUGUUGGGUUAAGUCCCGCAACGAGCGCAACCCUUUUCCUUAUUUGCCAGCGGGUUAAGCCGGGAACUUUAAGGAUACUGCCAGUGACAAACUGGAGGAAGGCGGGGACGACGUCAAGUCAUCAUGGCCCUUACGACCAGGGCUACACACGUGCUACAAUGGUAGGUACAGAGGGUUGCUACACAGCGAUGUGAUGCUAAUCUCAAAAAGCCUAUCGUAGUCCGGAUUGGAGUCUGCAACUCGACUCCAUGAAGUCGGAAUCGCUAGUAAUCGCGGAUCAGAAUGCCGCGGUGAAUACGUUCCCGGGCCU